This is a non-coding RNA of Bos taurus (domestic cattle), 78 nucleotides long. Lineage: Eukaryota; Metazoa; Chordata; Mammalia; Artiodactyla; Bovidae. The record is from Rfam.
GCUAAACUAUUUUUGCGAUGUGUUCCUAAUAUGCAGUAUAAAUAUAUUGGGAGCAUUUUGCAUGCAUGGUUUUGUAUC